RNAcentral lists this ribosomal RNA (576 nucleotides) under uncultured bacterium. RNAcentral describes it as "partial 16S ribosomal RNA". It matches the Rfam family "Bacterial small subunit ribosomal RNA", at positions 355 to 922 of the family's 1533-position model. The record is from RNAcentral.
UGGGGAAUUUUGGACAAUGGGCGAAAGCCUGAUCCAGCAAUGCCGCGUGUGUGAAGAAGGCCUUCGGGUUGUAAAGCACUUUUGUCCGGAAAGAAAUCCUUGGCUCUAAUACAGUCGGGGGAUGACGGUACCGGAAGAAUAAGCACCGGCUAACUACGUGCCAGCAGCCGCGGUAAUACGUAGGGUGCAAGCGUUAAUCGGAAUUACUGGGCGUAAAGCGUGCGCAGGCGGUUUGCUAAGACCGAUGUGAAAUCCCCGGGCUCAACCUGGGAACUGCAUUGGUGACUGGCAGGCUAGAGCAUGGCAGAGGGGGGUAGAAUUCCACGUGUAGCAGUGAAAUGCGUAGAGAUGUGGAGGAAUACCGAUGGCGAAGGCAGCCCCCUGGGCCAAUACUGACGCUCAUGCACGAAAGCGUGGGGGAGCAAACAGGAUUAGAUACCCUGGUAGUCCACGCCCUAAACGAUGUCAACUAGUUGUUGGGGAUUCAUUUCCUUAGUAACGUAGCUAACGCGUGAAGUUGACCGCCUGGGGAGUACGGUCGCAAGAUUAAAAACUUAAAUGAAUUGACGGGGUCAU